GAGGCACAUCUGUGAUCUGCUCUAGCCGAGGGAGAGUGGUUGAAACGUUGGUUGAUUGACCCACCUCUUUAGCAUUGAGCUUGUGGAGAGGGUGCUUUCUAUCAUGCUGCCGAUUUAUGCCAGCCUGAAUAUAAGGGUAUGGGGAUCAGCCUGCAUCCCAAAAGUGAUGACUAGGGACCUAUAUGAGACAUAUAGGGGGCCCUCGACUA
This 209-nucleotide long non-coding RNA is filed under the name Elaeis guineensis (African oil palm). RNAcentral describes it as "long non-coding RNA (EGUI_LNC024179)". Lineage: Eukaryota; Viridiplantae; Streptophyta; Magnoliopsida; Arecales; Arecaceae. The record is from RNAcentral.